RNAcentral lists this ribosomal RNA (253 nucleotides) under uncultured bacterium. RNAcentral describes it as "partial 16S ribosomal RNA". It matches the Rfam family "Bacterial small subunit ribosomal RNA", at positions 524 to 776 of the family's 1533-position model. The record is from RNAcentral.
UACGAAGGGGGCUAGCGUUGCUCGGAAUCACUGGGCGUAAAGGGUGCGUAGGCGGGUUUUUAAGUCAGGGGUGAAAUCCUGGAGCUCAACUCCAGAACUGCCUUUGAGACUGAGUGGCUUGAGUACGGGAGAGGUGAGUGGAAUUCCCAGUGUAGAGGUGAAAUUCGUAGAUAUUGGGAAGAACACCGGUGGCGAAGGCGGCUCACUGGCCCGUAACUGACGCUCAUGCACGACAGCGUGGGGAGCAAACAGG